This is a long non-coding RNA of Oncorhynchus tshawytscha (Chinook salmon), 433 nucleotides long. The record is from Ensembl. Lineage: Eukaryota; Metazoa; Chordata; Actinopteri; Salmoniformes; Salmonidae.
GGGUGUUCUGGGUGGUCUAGAGAAGGAGCUUGAUGGUAAAUGGGGUGUUCUGGGUGGUCUAGAGAAGGAGCUUGAUGGUAAAUGGGGUGUUCUGGGUGGUCUAGAGAAGGAGCUUGAUGGUAAAUGGGGUGGUCUGGGUGGUCUAGAGAAGGAGCUUGAUGGUAAAUGGGGUGGUCUGGGUGGUCUAGAGAAGGAGCUUGAUGGUAAAUGGGAUGGUCUGGAGAAGGAGCUUGAUGGUAAAUGGGAUGGUCUAGAGAAGGAGCUUGAUGGUAAAUGGGAUGGUCUAGAGAAGGAGCUUGAUGGUAAAUGGGAUGGUCUAGAGAAGGAGCUUGAUGGUAAAUGGGGUGGUCUGGGUGGUCUAGAGAAGGAGCUUCAUGGUAAAUGGGAUGGUCUGGGUGGUCUAGAGAAGGAGCUUCAUGUAAAAUGGGAUGGU